Molecule: transfer RNA, 74 nt
Filed under: Psilotum nudum
Lineage: Eukaryota; Viridiplantae; Streptophyta; Polypodiopsida; Psilotales; Psilotaceae
Description: tRNA-Pro(GGG)
Rfam family: tRNA
About the family: Transfer RNA (tRNA) molecules are approximately 80 nucleotides in length.
Source: RNAcentral
CGGGAUAUAGCGCAGCUUGGUAGCGCACCAUCUUGGGGUGAUGGAAGUCGCAGGUUCAAAUCCUGCUAUUCCGA